AGCGAACGCUGGCGGCAGGCCUAACACAUGCAAGUCGAGCGCCCCGCAAGGGGAGCGGCAGACGGGAGAGUAACACGUGGGAACGUACCCUUCAGUUCGGAACAACCCAGGGAAACUUGGGCUAAUACCGAAUACGUCCGUAAGGAGAAAGAUUUAUCGCUGAAGGAUCGGCCCGCGUCUGAUUAGCUAGUUGGUGAGGUAACGGCUCACCAAGGCUACGAUCAGUAGCUGGUCGAGAGGAUGAUCAGCCUCACUGGGACUGAGACACGGCCCAGACUCCUACGGGAGGCAGCAGUGGGGAAUAUUGGACAAUGGGCGCAAGCCUGAUCCAGCCAUGCCGCGUGGGUGAUGAAGGCCCUAGGGUAGUAAA
This 370-nucleotide ribosomal RNA is filed under the name uncultured bacterium. RNAcentral's name for it is "bacterial SSU rRNA". It matches the Rfam family "Bacterial small subunit ribosomal RNA", at positions 29 to 429 of the family's 1533-position model. The record is from RNAcentral.